CCUACGGGAGGCAGCAGUGAGGAAUAUUUGUCAAUGGGCGCGAGCCUGAACCAGCCAAGUAGCGUGAAGGAUGACUGCCCUACGGGUUGUAAACUUCUUUUAUAAAGGAAUAAAGUGAGGCACGUGUGCCUCUUUGUAUGUACUUUAUUAAUAAGGAUCGGCUAACUCCGUGCCAGCAGCCGUGGUAAUACGGAGGCUCCGAGCGUUGUCCGGAUUUAUGGGGUUUAAAGGGCGCGUAGAUGGGUUGUUAAGUCAGUGGUGAAAGUUUGCGGCUCAACCGUAAAAUUGCAAUUGAUACUGGCAGUCUUGAGUAAAGUUGAGGUAGGCGGAAUUCGUGGUGUAGCGGUGAAAUGCUUAGAUAUCACGAAGAACUCCGAUUGCGAAGGCAGGUUACUAAACUGCCACUGACAUUGAUGCUCGAAAGUGUGGGUAUCAAACGGGAUUAGAUACCCCUGUAGUC
Molecule: ribosomal RNA, 460 nt
Filed under: uncultured bacterium
Lineage: Bacteria
Description: partial 16S ribosomal RNA
Rfam family: Bacterial small subunit ribosomal RNA
Source: RNAcentral